UAUGGAUCGCGAUGUGAUAUGAUCUAAAGUGUGAUACAUGUCUACGCUGAAGAUCGAUCACGCAAGCCACCGUCUUUCAAUAGAUAGCUGCCUUCACGGGCCGUGUGGUUAGCGAAUACAGAGCUCCUAAUCGUCCCCUUGUGGACAACAAACCCCUGACAUCUGACCUCAAAUCAGGUAGGACUACCCGCUGAACUUAA
Molecule: unclassified non-coding RNA, 200 nt
Filed under: soil metagenome
Description: partial contains internal transcribed spacer 2 and large subunit ribosomal RNA
Source: RNAcentral